GCAGUGGGGAAUAUUGGACAAUGGGCGAAAGCCUGAUCCAGCCAUGCCGCGUGUGUGAAGAAGGUCUUCGGAUUGUAAAGCACUUUAAGUUGGGAGGAAGGGCAUUAACCUAAUACGUUAGUGUUUUGACGUUACCGACAGAAUAAGCACCGGCUAACUUCGUGCCAGCAGCCGCGGUAAUACGAAGGGUGCAAGCGUUAAUCGGAAUUACUGGGCGUAAAGCGCGCGUAGGUGGUUUGUUAAGUUGAAUGUGAAAGCCCCGGGCUCAACCUGGGAACUGCAUCCAAAACUGGCAAGCUAGAGUAUGGCAGAGGGUGGUGGAAUUUCCUGUGUAGCGGUGAAAUGCGUAGAUAUAGGAAGGAACACCAGUGGCGAAAGGCGACCACCUGGGCUAAUACUGACACUGAGGNGCGAAAAGCGUGGGGAGCAAACAGGAUUAGAUACCCUGGUAGUCCACGCCUUAAACGAUGUCU
RNAcentral lists this ribosomal RNA (473 nucleotides) under uncultured Pseudomonas sp. Its description in RNAcentral is "bacterial SSU rRNA". It matches the Rfam family "Bacterial small subunit ribosomal RNA", at positions 351 to 814 of the family's 1533-position model. Lineage: Bacteria; Pseudomonadati; Pseudomonadota; Gammaproteobacteria; Pseudomonadales; Pseudomonadaceae. The record is from RNAcentral.